This 253-nucleotide ribosomal RNA is filed under the name uncultured bacterium. Its description in RNAcentral is "partial 16S ribosomal RNA". It matches the Rfam family "Bacterial small subunit ribosomal RNA", at positions 524 to 776 of the family's 1533-position model. The record is from RNAcentral.
UACGGAGGGUGCAAGCGUUAUCCGGAUUUACUGGGUUUAAAGGGUGCGCAGGCGGAUAUGUAAGUCAGUGGUGAAAUCUCUAGGCUUAACCUGGAAAUUGCCGUUGAUACUAUAUAUCUUGAAUGCUGUGGAGGUAAGCGGAAUAUGUCAUGUAGCGGUGAAAUGCUUAGAUAUGACAUAGAACACCUAUUGCGAAGGCAGCUUACUACGCAGAUAUUGACGCUCAUACACGAAAGCGUGGGGAUCAAACAGG